Molecule: ribosomal RNA, 253 nt
Filed under: uncultured microorganism
Description: partial 16S ribosomal RNA
Rfam family: Bacterial small subunit ribosomal RNA
Source: RNAcentral
UACGGAGGGUGCAAGCGUUAAUCGGAAUUACUGGGCGUAAAGCGUACGUAGGCGGCUUGUUAAGCAAGAUGUGAAAUCCCCGGGCUCAACCUGGGAAUGGCAUUUUGAACUGGCAGGCUCGAGUUCUGAAGAGGGUGGUAGAAUUUCCAGUGUAGCGGUGAAAUGCGUAGAUAUUGGAAGGAAUACCGGUGGCGAAGGCGGCCACCUGGUCAGAAACUGACGCUGAGGAGCGAAAGCUAGGGGAGCAAACGGG